Molecule: long non-coding RNA, 886 nt
Organism: Microtus oregoni (creeping vole)
Lineage: Eukaryota; Metazoa; Chordata; Mammalia; Rodentia; Cricetidae
Exons: 3
Source: RefSeq, a predicted model, not a curated record
AAAACGUCUGCUUCCGGUCAGACUUUCUCCCCUCUCUCUCACACAUUCUCUGCCCCUACGAGUUCGUAUUGCUCUGUUUCUCGAGGUUUCUCUCCCUUUCCCUUAAAGCGAUGGAGGGGAUUGGAGGAAGAGGACGUUCUGCGCCUGCCCAGCGGUUUGCGGCACAGGGUCGACCAACUGGAAGGAGCCUAAAUUGACGGAGCCCAUGUGCCCGGGAAAAGGCGGGAAACCGAGGAGGCCAAGGCUCGCACGUGCGGCUCGUGGCUCCCUGCACUCUCCGCAGCCGCUUCUGGGUUAGCGCUGGCCUGAGGCGUCCGGAACGCAGGAGCAAGUGUUCCCCCCGCCCUGGGACGCAGAGCGCAGGGCGAGCAUUGCUCAGCCCUCAGAAACAGCUUGGGCCUUUGUGGAGACGGCCGGCUCUGAGGGGAAAGCCCGCCACUGCCGGCUCUCAGGCCCGGGGCUCUGUGGUACUUACCUGUCAUCGCUCCAGAGGAGCCGCGGGCAGUCACCUGCCAUGCGGUUUCCAUUCAGCCUUGACUUUGGCACAGAGUUCGGCAGCCCUAUCCAGCCCCCUCUCCCAAGCUUCUGUACGCCAUCAAACAGUCAUUCCGUGGCACUGAGCGCCGUGGAGGCACCUGGCCGGGGAGCGAGUGUUCCUGGUGGCAGAGGCUGUGAGGGCCCCGGAUGCUGAGCUUGUCUACACCACUCUGAAAGUUUUAUGCAUCACUUCUGUGGUCCUGUGGAAGUAGCCAGCACUAUCCUCCUGUCUAGCACUUGCUAUACCGACGGGGACGGAAAAACGGAUCAAGAUGUAGCACUUUCAGCACCAUAUCUGCCUGAUUGCCACCAUGUCACAACCUGGUGAUAAUUGACUAAACCUCUGAAA